This 453-nucleotide ribosomal RNA is filed under the name uncultured Pseudomonas sp. RNAcentral's name for it is "bacterial SSU rRNA". It matches the Rfam family "Bacterial small subunit ribosomal RNA", at positions 930 to 1382 of the family's 1533-position model. Lineage: Bacteria; Pseudomonadati; Pseudomonadota; Gammaproteobacteria; Pseudomonadales; Pseudomonadaceae. The record is from RNAcentral.
CGGUGGAGCAUGUGGUUUAAUUCGAAGCAACGCGAAGAACCUUACCAGGCCUUGACAUGCAGAGAACUUUCCAGAGAUGGAUUGGUGCCUUCGGGAACUCUGACACAGGUGCUGCAUGGCUGUCGUCAGCUCGUGUCGUGAGAUGUUGGGUUAAGUCCCGUAACGAGCGCAACCCUUGUCCUUAGUUACCAGCACGUUAUGGUGGGCACUCUAAGGAGACUGCCGGUGGCAAACCGGAGGAAGGUGGGGGUGACGUCAAGUCAUCAUGGCCCUUACGGCCUGGGCUACACACGUGCUACAAUGGUCGGUACAAAGGGUUGCCAAGCCGCGAGGUGGAGCUAAUCCCAUAAAACCGAUCGUAGUCCGGAUCGCAGUCUGCAACUCGACUGCGUGGAGUCGGAAUCGCUAGUAAUCGUGAAUCAGAAUGUCACGGUGAAUACGUUCCCGGGCCUU